GAUGAAGAACGCAGCGAAAUGCGAUACUUGGUGUGAAUUGCAGAAUCCCGUGAACCAUCGAGUCUUUGAACGCAAGUUGCGCCUCAAGCCAUUAGGUUGAGGGCACGUCUGCCUGGGCGUCACAUAUCGUUGCCUGAUGCCAGUUUCCUCGUGAUGGGUGACUGUGCAGGGCGAAUGAUGGCUUCCCGUGAGCAUUGUUGCCUCAUGGUUGGUUGAAAAUUGAGUCCUUGGUAGGGAGCGCCGUGAUAGAUGGUGGUUGAGUGACGAACGAGACCCAAUCAUGUGAGACCCCUACCGAAUUUGGCCUUCAUGACCCACAUGCGUCUUUGGAACGCUCAUGACGAGACCUCAGGUCAGGCGGGGCUACCCGCUGAGUUUAAGCAUAUCAAGCGGAGGA
This 397-nucleotide unclassified non-coding RNA is filed under the name soil metagenome. RNAcentral's name for it is "partial contains 5.8S ribosomal RNA, internal transcribed spacer 2, and large subunit ribosomal RNA". The stretch from base 1 to 122 matches the Rfam family "5.8S ribosomal RNA", at positions 35 to 154 of the family's 154-position model. The record is from RNAcentral.